RNAcentral lists this ribosomal RNA (167 nucleotides) under Escherichia fergusonii. Its description in RNAcentral is "partial 23S ribosomal RNA". The stretch from base 1 to 149 matches the Rfam family "Bacterial large subunit ribosomal RNA", at positions 2782 to 2925 of the family's 2925-position model. The record is from RNAcentral. Lineage: Bacteria; Pseudomonadati; Pseudomonadota; Gammaproteobacteria; Enterobacterales; Enterobacteriaceae.
UAAGCACGAAACUUGCCCCGAGAUGAGUUCUCCCUGACCCUUUAAGGGUCCUGAAGGAACGUUGAAGACGACGACGUUGAUAGGCCGGGUGUGUAAGCGCAGCGAUGCGUUGAGCUAACCGGUACUAAUGAACCGUGAGGCUUAACCUUACAACGCCGAAGGUGUUU